UACGUAGGGUGCAAGCGUUAAUCGGAAUUACUGGGCGUAAAGCGUGCGCAGGCGGUUAUGUAAGACAGAUGUGAAAUGCCCGGGCUUAACCUGGGAACUGCAUUUGUGACUGCAUGGCUAGAGUUUGGCAGAGGGGGGUAGAAUUCCACGUGUAGCAGUGAAAUGCGUAGAUAUGUGGAGGAACACCGAUGGCGCAAGGCAGCCCCCUGGGUCAAGACUGACGCUCAUGGCACGAAAGCGUGGGGAGCAAACGAGG
Molecule: ribosomal RNA, 256 nt
Filed under: uncultured bacterium
Lineage: Bacteria
Description: partial 16S ribosomal RNA
Rfam family: Bacterial small subunit ribosomal RNA
Source: RNAcentral